GGAGUAGUGUGGUUUAAUUCGAUGCAACGCGAAGAACCUUACCUGGUCUUGACAUCCCGGAGACCCUUAGGAAACUAGGGGUGCUUCCAUCUGGAAGAAUCUGGAGACAGGUGCUGCAUGGCUGUCGUCAGCUCGUGUCGUGAGAUGUUGGGUUAAGUCCCGCAACGAGCGCAACCCUUGCCUUUAGUUGCCAGCAGUUCGGCUGGGCACUCUAAAGGGACUGCCGGUGUUAAACCGGAGGAAGGUGGGGAUGACGUCAAGUCCUCAUGGCCUUUAUGACCAGGGCUACACACGUACUACAAUGGCCGAUACAAAGGGCAGCGACACUGCGAGGUGAAGCCAAUCCCGUAAAAUCGGUCUCAGUCCGGAUUGGAGUCUGCAACUCGACUCCAUGAAGUUGGAAUCGCUAGUAAUCGUGGAUCAGCAUGCCACGGUGAAUACGUUCCCGGGCCUU
RNAcentral lists this ribosomal RNA (454 nucleotides) under uncultured Desulfobulbus sp. RNAcentral describes it as "bacterial SSU rRNA". It matches the Rfam family "Bacterial small subunit ribosomal RNA", at positions 934 to 1382 of the family's 1533-position model. The record is from RNAcentral. Lineage: Bacteria; Pseudomonadati; Thermodesulfobacteriota; Desulfobulbia; Desulfobulbales; Desulfobulbaceae.